GCGGGCAUAGAUUAAUGGUAAAUUAUCUGCCUUCCAAGCAGAGGAUAAGGGUUCGAUUCCCUUUGCCCGUA
Molecule: transfer RNA, 71 nt
Filed under: Nephroselmis olivacea
Lineage: Eukaryota; Viridiplantae; Chlorophyta; Nephroselmidophyceae; Nephroselmidales; Nephroselmidaceae
Description: tRNA-Gly
Rfam family: tRNA
About the family: Transfer RNA (tRNA) molecules are approximately 80 nucleotides in length. Their secondary structure includes four short double-helical elements and three loops (D, anti-codon, and T loops). Further hydrogen bonds mediate the characteristic L-shaped molecular structure. tRNAs have two regions of fundamental functional importance: the anti-codon, which is responsible for specific mRNA codon recognition, and the 3' end, to which the tRNAs corresponding amino acid is attached (by aminoacyl-tRNA synthetases). tRNAs cope with the degeneracy of the genetic code in two manners: having more than one tRNA (with a specific anti-codon) for a particular amino acid; and 'wobble' base-pairing, i.e. permitting non-standard base-pairing at the 3rd anti-codon position.
Source: RNAcentral